Molecule: long non-coding RNA, 755 nt
Organism: Hippocampus comes (tiger tail seahorse)
Lineage: Eukaryota; Metazoa; Chordata; Actinopteri; Syngnathiformes; Syngnathidae
Exons: 2
Source: RefSeq, a predicted model, not a curated record
ACUUUGUGGAAACUUAUAUUUCUUAUAUCGACUGUUAAAAACUGAGGAAAAACAUGCCGGUUGUUCGUCUGUAUGCGCAUUCUGCAGAUGCUUGAUUUAUCAUUUUAAACAUACAGCAGUGGUGGCCAAAUAACUAGUUUGUGUUGUAGGAUCAUAGUGGAGCAAACUGCUAGUUCACUUCACUCCCCGCAACCCACACUCACCCCGCUGACCAAAGCCGUGCGUGUCCCUCACUGACAUGAGUAACAAGGACAGUCGUGGCACGUGGACUCCAGGGGAUACAUCACUAGUCUGCAUGCUCACAUCUGCCACUGGAUUGCACCCCCCCCCUCGGUUUGAAGAUAUGCAGGAUUGUGCACAGUAGAUGAAUGUGUGUGUGUGUGUGUGUGUGUGUGUGUGUGUGUGUGUGUGUGUGUGUGUGCAUUCAUUCCAUGCUCCGCUUCAGAAUGUAAUUUCCCCCAGGCUGGGGUCUGCCAAUAAACACUAUUGAAUUCUGUCCUACACUGACAUGAUGGGAAUUUAAUUUGAGCUUGUCGCUUCUUUCUAUACUUCUUUUUCCAACUCCAUCCUCUUGCCAUACUCGUUACCCCCCUUUUAUAGCCCCCCAUUUGCCCUUUUCUCCUUCUGUCGAACGCCUUCUCUGUGAAGCGAGGCCGGGUCAUCCAGUCUGACAGUCUAUAUCACAGCUCCACAUUACUGUAUUAUUACCAUUGAGACUAAUGAUCCCUGAUGUGCAUAUGAAGGUGAUUUUAAUU